CCUGGGGAGUACGGCCGCAAGGUUAAAACUCAAAUGAAUUGACGGGGGCCCGCACAAGCGGUGGAGCAUGUGGUUUAAUUCGAUGCAACGCGAAGAACCUUACCUGGUCUUGACAUCCACAGAACUUUCCAGAGAUGGAUUGGUGCCUUCGGGAACUGUGAGACAGGUGCUGCAUGGCUGUCGUCAGCUCGUGUUGUGAAAUGUUGGGUUAAGUCCCGCAACGAGCGCAACCCUUAUCCUUUGUUGCCAGCGGUUCGGCCGGGAAC
This 266-nucleotide ribosomal RNA is filed under the name Klebsiella pneumoniae. RNAcentral's name for it is "partial 16S ribosomal RNA". It matches the Rfam family "Bacterial small subunit ribosomal RNA", at positions 872 to 1138 of the family's 1533-position model. Lineage: Bacteria; Pseudomonadati; Pseudomonadota; Gammaproteobacteria; Enterobacterales; Enterobacteriaceae. The record is from RNAcentral.